AUCUGUACGCACGUACAUAUAUUCUACUUAGACUGGUAUUCUGGAAUUUGUGAAAUCUCAGCUAUUUUCAAACCGAAUCCACCUUUACCUGAUUGUUAUUUGUCAGCAUUGGUGAGGGCUUGCUCUUAUUCUUCUCUGCCCCAUCAUUAGAACUUUCUUGAAAGAACAACUUUGCUGUACAAAGAGAAAUAAUUAUCCUCUUGUACUCUCUCCUGAAAUUCUGGUUCAAGAGUCCAUAAAUAAUAGCAUUAAGGCAACUGUUGAAAUAUGCCAUGUAAUAACUGCCAACAAACAAC
Molecule: non-coding RNA, 296 nt
Organism: Pelobates cultripes (western spadefoot toad)
Lineage: Eukaryota; Metazoa; Chordata; Amphibia; Anura; Pelobatidae
Source: the annotation of a GenBank genome assembly